GCUAGCGUAGCUUAACUAAAGCAUAACACUGAAGAUGUUAAGAUGGACCCUAAAAAGCCCCGCGGGCA
This 68-nucleotide transfer RNA is filed under the name Arothron reticularis (reticulated pufferfish). Its description in RNAcentral is "tRNA-Phe". It matches the Rfam family "tRNA". From Rfam's summary of the family: Transfer RNA (tRNA) molecules are approximately 80 nucleotides in length. Their secondary structure includes four short double-helical elements and three loops (D, anti-codon, and T loops). Further hydrogen bonds mediate the characteristic L-shaped molecular structure. tRNAs have two regions of fundamental functional importance: the anti-codon, which is responsible for specific mRNA codon recognition, and the 3' end, to which the tRNAs corresponding amino acid is attached (by aminoacyl-tRNA synthetases). tRNAs cope with the degeneracy of the genetic code in two manners: having more than one tRNA (with a specific anti-codon) for a particular amino acid; and 'wobble' base-pairing, i.e. permitting non-standard base-pairing at the 3rd anti-codon position. The record is from RNAcentral. RNAcentral also lists the same sequence under 1 other name. Lineage: Eukaryota; Metazoa; Chordata; Actinopteri; Tetraodontiformes; Tetraodontidae.